This 368-nucleotide unclassified non-coding RNA is filed under the name Hevea brasiliensis (rubber tree). The record is from RNAcentral. Lineage: Eukaryota; Viridiplantae; Streptophyta; Magnoliopsida; Malpighiales; Euphorbiaceae.
GCCGAAACUAAGCCGCCGGAGAACGACCAACAAAUCACUCAUUCUCCUCCGAUGGCGUCCUCGUCGUGGUUGCAGGCCUUCCUCAACCCCCGGAAAAACUGGCUCGCCGCCAUCCACUGCCGCGCCGUAUCCAGCCGCCUCCGCCGCUACGGUUUGCGGUACGAUGAUCUGUAUGAUCCGAUGGAGGAUCUGGACAUCAAGGAGGCACUGGCGCGGCUACCCCGCGAGGCGGUGGACGCGAGGAACCAGCGGCUGAAGAGGGCCAUGGAUCUGUCGAUGAAGCAUGAGUACCUCUCCGAUGACCUGCAGAAACUGCAGACACCAUUUAGAAGUUAUCUUCAAGAUAUGUUGGCUCUUGUGAAGAAAGA